AACGAACGUUAGCGGUGUGGAUUAGGCAUGCAAGUCGAGCGCGAAAGUCCGCAAGGACGAGUAAAGCGGCGAAAGGGUGAGUAACACGUAACCAAUCUAUCCACGAGACCGGAAUAACCGGCGGAAACGCUGGCUAAUGCCGGAUGGUCCUGUCGGGAGGCAUCUCCCGACACGUAAACGGUGGCGCAAGCUGCUGCUCGAGGAGGGGGUUGCGGGCUAUCAGCUAGUUGGUGGGGAACGGCCUACCAAGGCGAUGACGGCUAGCUGGUCUGAGAGGACGACCAGCCACACUGGGACUGAGACACUGCCCAGACUCCUACGGGAGGCUGCAGUCGAGGAUCUUCCGCAAUGGGCGAAAGCCUGACGGAGCGACACCGCGUACAGGAUGAAGGCCUGGUU
This 399-nucleotide ribosomal RNA is filed under the name uncultured bacterium. RNAcentral describes it as "bacterial SSU rRNA". It matches the Rfam family "Bacterial small subunit ribosomal RNA", at positions 29 to 424 of the family's 1533-position model. The record is from RNAcentral.